RNAcentral lists this ribosomal RNA (772 nucleotides) under Myriangium duriaei. RNAcentral describes it as "SSU rRNA". It matches the Rfam family "Bacterial small subunit ribosomal RNA", at positions 444 to 1229 of the family's 1533-position model. The record is from RNAcentral. Lineage: Eukaryota; Fungi; Ascomycota; Dothideomycetes; Myriangiales; Myriangiaceae.
AAAGUUCUAGAUAGUAAACUGAUUAUGACAAAAAUCUAUCUAUGUGUCUUGGCUAAAUCUCGUGCCAGCAGCCGCGGUAAUACGAGUAAGACUAGUGUUAUUCAUCUUUAUUAGGUUUAAAGGGUACCUAGACGGUAUAAUUAACUUAUAAUAGGGUAGUUAUAUACUAGAGUUAUGAGGGAGAGGAAAAUAUAGAGCCAUUAGUGUAAUUAAGAGAUAGAAUAUUUUUAAACGAAUGGAACUGGUGAGUGAAAACAGACCUCUAUUAAUAACUGACGUUGAGGGACGAAGGCUUGGGGCACGAAUAGGAUUAGAGACCCUAGUAGUCCAGGCAGACAAUUAUGAGUGUUAUAUUUUAAAAUAAUAGUAAAGUAUAAAUGAAAGUGUAAGCAUUCCACCUCAAGAGUAAUGCGGCAACGCAGGAACUGAAAUCAUUAGACCGUUUCUGAAACCAGUAGUGAAGUAUGUUAUUUAAUUCGAUAACCCUCGAAAAACCUUACCACAAUUUGAAUAUUUUGUUACGAUCAAGAAAAAAAAGAGUUCGAUACUUAAUACAAGUGUUGCACGGCUGUCUUUAGUUAAUGUCGUGAGAUUUAGGUUUGAUCCGCAUAAUUAACGUAAACCCAUGCUUUAUAGUGGAAAAAAAAGGUUAAUUUUUUUAUUUUUAAUCUUAUAUCCCGAUAUAUUGCAGUUCGCCAUUACAGCGGUAAUGAUAAACGGGAUCAAGACAAGUCAUCAUGACCUUAAUAUUGUGGGCUAUAGACGUGCCACA